UGAACGCUGGCGGCAUGCCUUACACAUGCAAGUCGAACGGUAACGCGGGGCAACCUGGCGACGAGUGGCGAACGGGUGAGUAAAGCAUCGGAACGUGCCCAGUAGUGGGGGAUAGCCCGGCGAAAGCCGGAUUAAUACCGCAUACGACCUACGGGUGAAAGGGGGGGAUCGCAAGACCUCUCGCUAUUGGAGCGGCCGAUGUCAGAUUAGGUAGUUGGUGGGGUAAAGGCCUACCAAGCCUGCGAUCUGUAGCUGGUCUGAGAGGACGACCAGCCACACUGGGACUGAGACACGGCCCAGACUCCUACGGGAGGCAGCAGUGGGGAAUUUUGGACAAUGGGGGAAACCCUGAUCCAGCCAUGCCGCGUGCGGGAAGAAGGCCUUCGGUUGUAACCGCUUUGUCAGGAGAAACGCCUCGAGCUAAUACCACGAGGUAAUGACGGUACCUGAAGAAUAAGCACCGGCUAACUACGUGCCAGCAG
This 482-nucleotide ribosomal RNA is filed under the name uncultured bacterium. RNAcentral's name for it is "bacterial SSU rRNA". It matches the Rfam family "Bacterial small subunit ribosomal RNA", at positions 30 to 514 of the family's 1533-position model. The record is from RNAcentral.